This 643-nucleotide long non-coding RNA is filed under the name Rattus norvegicus (Norway rat). RNAcentral's name for it is "long non-coding RNA NONRATT009926". Lineage: Eukaryota; Metazoa; Chordata; Mammalia; Rodentia; Muridae. The record is from RNAcentral.
AUCCUCGACACACGUCCUGCUCCUUGGCUGGCAGUGACAGCAAGCCAGUUCAGGAAGCCUCCAGCGUUUCCAGAGUAGGCAGCAUCCCGCACGACCUUUGUCAUAAUGAGCUGUUUCCAUCAUGGACUAAAUAACUUAAAAGAAGUAAAACUGAUUGCACUAUUGUUUUCCAGACCGGGAAACCAAUCUCUGCAAGUAAAACUGUAUAGUUUAUAAAAUGACUGUGGACAGGGGACUGUUUUCACUUUUAGAUAAAAUGGGUUUUUAAGUAGAAACUAGGGUUUCUAAUUGACUCGAUUUCUGGAAAUGAAAACCCACACUUUUAUUAUGGGAUGCUUCCUCAAAUGCAUUUAUUAUUAUUAUAAAGUUUCAAGUCCUGCUGUAAAGACCAUGUUGUUUUGUUUUCCCCAGGGCUUUCACUGUGAUUUACUGCACUGCAGGCUGUAUGAUAAAAUAUAAAUAAUGUAAAGACAGAAGGCUCUUGAUUCCUUGUACAAGUGGAAGAGUUAAGACUUGAUCGAAGGACUUAAAACAUUCACAUGCUUAAACUGAGGUUGGGGGUGUGGGGAUUCAGGCACUUGUUUACAGACUUUGAAUAAAUGCAAAGAAUUUAUGGUUUGUGAAAAAUUUGUACUGUGGAAAA